This 434-nucleotide ribosomal RNA is filed under the name uncultured bacterium. Its description in RNAcentral is "partial 16S ribosomal RNA". It matches the Rfam family "Bacterial small subunit ribosomal RNA", at positions 29 to 506 of the family's 1533-position model. The record is from RNAcentral.
AGCGAACGCUGGCGGCAGGCUUAACACAUGCAAGUCGAGCGGGCAUCUUCGGAUGUCAGCGGCAGACGGGUGAGUAACACGUGGGAACGUACCCUUCGGUUCGGAACAACUCUGGGAAACUGGAGCUAAUACCGGAUACGCCCUUAUGGGGAAAGGUUUACUGCCGAAGGAUCGGCCCGCGUCUGAUUAGCUAGUUGGUGGGGUAACGGCCUACCAAGGCGACGAUCAGUAGCUGGUCUGAGAGGAUGAUCAGCCACACUGGGACUGAGACACGGCCCAGACUCCUACGGGAGGCAGCAGUGGGGAAUAUUGGACAAUGGGCGCAAGCCUGAUCCAGCCAGGCCGCGUGAGUGAUGAAGGCCUUAGGGUUGUAAAGCUCUUUUGUCCGGGACGAUAAUGACGGUACCGGAAGAAUAAGCCUCGGCUAACUUCGU